Molecule: ribosomal RNA, 406 nt
Filed under: uncultured bacterium
Lineage: Bacteria
Description: partial 16S ribosomal RNA
Rfam family: Bacterial small subunit ribosomal RNA
Source: RNAcentral
AUUGAACGCUGGCGGCAGGCCUAACACAUGCAAGUCGAACGAGUGGCGGACGUGAUAGUAAUGUAUGGGAAUCUGCCCGAUGGAUGGGGAUAACUACUGGAAACUGUAGCUAAUACCGCAUUCCAUCGGAUGUGCCCAGAUGGGAUUAGCUAGUAGGUGGGGUAACGGCUCACCUAGGCGACGCACCCUAGCUGGUCUGAGAGGAUGAACCGCCAAACUGGAACGGAGACACGGUCCAGACUCCUACGGGAGGCAGCAGUGGGGAAUAUUGCACAAUGGGCGGAAGCCUGAUGCAGCCAUGCCGCGUGUAUGAAGAAGGCCUUCGGGUGGUAAAGUACUUUCAGUGAGGAGGCGUUACUCGCAGAAGAAGCACCGGCUAACUCCGUGCCAGCCGCCGCGGUAAUUC